AAGGUAGAUUGAGCUGGGCCUGGUGGCAAA
RNAcentral lists this non-coding RNA (30 nucleotides) under Cricetulus griseus (Chinese hamster). Lineage: Eukaryota; Metazoa; Chordata; Mammalia; Rodentia; Cricetidae. The record is from RNAcentral.